CAAGUAAAUAAAGAAGAGUGUAUUUUAUUUCUUUCUUUUUUUCAAUUUUUUCAAAUUGAUUUUCCAAAGUUUUUAAAUAAAUAAACAAACAAACAUCUUAGUUGCACUUAAUCCAAUCUUAGUAACAUUAUUAAGUGACUUCCUCAAAUCCCCCGGCUGAAUUUCAGUGUAUAUCAUUGUAACAGUUUUCCAAAACAAAUUUCUCGUAAAAUUAACUUAAUCACUUAACAUCAUUCUUUCUUCUCAUUUGAAGAGUGUAUUUUAUUUCAGACACAAACAACGGCAUUCCAAACGUUGUUACUCUUUACUUUCUUAGUCUUAUUUUCCUCUCUAUCUCUUCUACCUCCCCUCACUCAAGAACCCACUGCCCUGUCUCUCUAUUUCCAACUGCCUGCCAACUGCUUUUCCAACUGCCUUUCCCAGCCAGCCAUCCCACUAAAACCAACCAACUACCCACCAACAACUCUAACAAACCUCGGGCGAAGCCCUUUUAUACACAUGUAGGCUCCGCCUCCAGCUUUCCUAUUGGUCUACAUUUUUAACCCUUUCUUUCCCCCCGUACAGACAGGCUCUAAACGAACGGGCAAACGCCACAGGUAUCUCUUAAAUACCCAGUCAAUCACUGCCCUCUUCAGGAGAGAGGCUCCUGCAGAUGCCAUCUCUUCAAGGGGUCUGUUCUAUACAAUAUAGGAAUCAAGUGUUUAGUGUGUAGUGACACACAUCCUUUCAAAUUAGAUACAAGCCACCUCUAUUGUAUGCUUUAAUUCUAGAAUGAUUGUCAAGCUGCAAGCGACCUUGAGGUCUAACUGCCUGCAAAGCAGGAAUCAUUGGGCACCUGAAGACCUUCCUUUUUCAACAAGAGAACUUUAUCCCAGUCUGCAUAAGCGCCAGAAUAGUUUUAAGAGGCUUUUGGAUGUUUCAAUUGGAUCACUUUAUGUGUUUUCUGCCUUGGUUCCCCCCCUCUUUUUCCUUUUUAGGAGGAAGAGCAAGAUAUAAAUGCAAUUAACAAAUAAAUAAUUUCAAUUUACGCGGGGCUGAUUCUGGGUCUGGUUCAGAGGCUGCAGUUAGCGCAGGAGGCCACGGCAAGCCUGCUUGUGGGGGGAGCUUGCCGUCAGCAGAAAACACCAGUGUAGAAAGCUCUGCACUGGCUGGCAGAUUUAAAGUGCUUGUUUUGACAUACAAAGCCCGAGAUGGAAAGCGCUGCUCCUGAGUCGUCUGACGCUGUUAUGUUGUUAGUACACUGUCUUGUUUUUACAUUGUCGUAUUUCAGCGUAAUACUGUCUUUUGUGUGCAUUUUGUUGCUUCUCACUUUCUUGAGCAGGCUGUUAAUAACUGAAAGGAUCAAAUAAAUAAACAUUAUUGUCGUAGCAAAAUCUACGUAUUUCACGUUACAGAGAAGUGUCCUAAACAGGCAGCAAAUGGGCAGAGGUGGAGAUGGGACGGUGCUCAGUUGUGCAUUUAAGCCAAUUGCGAUGUGCGACAGUGGUUCUUUUCUGGGCUAAUUAACACUGCUGUCUCUGCUUUUGAAGAAGAGGCAAUUAAGGCAACUGGGCGAGCAAUGGGUAACCGCGACACAGGUCUGCAUCGUCGCCUGUCUUUUCAGAUGUGAUGCAAAAUUAUAACUGAUAAUGGCCGUGUGAUGAUCCCGAUGAUUUGGACCUGCUUCUCGUUGACACAUGGCACGAACGUGUCAUGCCGCUAUGUGGCAAUAACAGAUGGCGUGGUGGGGCAGAAGCUCUCACCUGACCUCCCAGCAGUUGAGGUCCCGGGUGAGGUGGUGGUGAGGUCGGAGUGGUGAAAAUGUGCAAGCUGAACCACUCUGGUACUCCUCCCAGGGCGCUUACACCAUGCUGUCCUCCAUACUGCCUGUUGGGAUGCUGCCGGUGUAGCCUUUUUAGCCUCGGGUGAGAAGAGCUUUGCGCCCGGGAUGGGGAAAUGAGAGUCAACAGACACUCAAGGAAUAGUUUCAGAGAAAAAGCUUUAUUCUACCAUCCGGGCUGGUAGAAGGAGCAAGUGUGAUAAAUUCACAAACAAGCACGAGUUCACAGCCAUUUACACAGAGUAUAUAUUCCCCUUCAGUUCCCUCCCCUUUCUCCUCCACCUCAAGAGUCCUGCCCCAUAAUGUGUUUCCUGAGCAUGAACAGAAAGCUCCUGUCUUGGGACUCUUUUGGACUCUUGGCGCCCUUCCCAGGAAAGGGGAUGAAAAGCCUUGCGUUCAGCAUGUCCAAGAUGUGUUACAACCAGAGUGAGAUAAGAGUCAGUUCUCAGACUUGCUUUGACAGAGCCUAUUCAUUAGCUUUUUGGAGCCUUCUCGUACUGAUAAAAGAAUAACAUUUUGCCUAUGCAUCUUGUGAGAAAGCAGAGGAAAACUUUAGCCGUGGAUUUUUAGAAGAGAGAAAGGAAUUUUGGACAGUUUUGAGGCCUGGUUGGGGGGGGUGACUUCGGGCCUAGGUGGGGUCACCUGUCCUCACCUCCUUCAUUUGGGGAGUCGGGGGCAUUUGGCAGGCCCCCAGCUGGCUCCAGCCACCGGCCGGCAGCCAGGCAAACACCGGUUCUCAGAACAGCAUCAAUCAGCGAUACGAGCCUCAGAUACGUUCAGAAGCUGUGCACGCUCUUAUCAGCAGAGUGAAUAAAUCCUCACAACGGAAGUGGCGGACAGAAGCACAUGUAAGCAUUAUUUACAAGUGUUUAUCCAGCAUCAGGAACAAAGGAAAAACAUGUCUGCUUCCCUUCGUGUCCAGCAAACAGCAGUAUACAAACGGAAGUUCCCAGCAAGCCUGUGCUGGAAGUAAACAGGCAUGUGACACACAAGAGUCAUGCCUGUUCCUUUUAAGGUGGAACAGAACUAUAUCCUAACACUGCCUUCCCCAUGCUCUGACCAGUAAGCAGAAAUGACUCAGUGGCCAGGAGGUCAGGUCAGGAUCCCCAUGGCAGGAUCUGCUAUUGCAACUAUGUGGCAUGGCAGAAAGACACAUGAAAAUAAACAGGCAGGUUUCAGACAUCGUUAUAACUCAUUAGGUUUAGUUUUUUUGCAGCCACACUGGGCAUCAUCAUGAGGGAUGAGAGAGAGAGAGAGAGAGAGGGCAGUUGUUUGAGUCCUGGCUCUUAGCCACUGGCAGAGGCAGAUUUAAGAGUUUGGGUGCAGACCCAGGGAGGGGGGGGGACACACAGGGAAUACCACAACCAUUACUUAGAAUGGAGCAUGAGAGGUGGUGGAUGCCAAAUUUUGACAUCACACAUGGUGCUGCUGGAAUUUGAGACCUCAAGGUCCGCCACUGGGACGUCACUUAAAAGCCCACGCGAAAGGAUGCGUUUCUCAAAUGCUAUGUUAGUGAAAACUCUUAAAUCAGGUUCCCUAAACAUCUGCAGAAGUCUUUCCCAACCUGGUGCCCUCCAGAACUUUUGGACUACAACUCCCAUCAGCCUCAGCCAGCAGUCUGGCACCAGGUUGGAGAGCCUGAUCUACGUUAUGGAUCAGAUCUCUAAAUUCAGUAUCAUCUGGUGGUUUUUAAAAAUAAAAAAAUAUAAAUGCUACCUACCUUGACUUUAGAGUCUAGGUUCAGUACAGGAGGUUUUUUUUUGAAGGGGACUAACUGAGAAUGUCAAAAUUCUAUCAUGCAUCAAGGCCAACAAAAUGCCAUGUACGUACGUGAUGUCAAAGGCUGUAGUCUGUACCAUCAGAGGGAAGGGGCGUACGCUAGCCAAACCAACUCCUCCUUCUUCUUAACUUCACCACUGCCACCAAGUGGAUACCUUAAUUUCUCUCUUGUUUCCGCCACUAAACAGCCUAUUAACCUUCUAGAUUUUCACCGGCUCAACCUAUGCUGGCAUUUAGGCACAGGGUAAAUAACAAGGUGUCCGACCAAUUUUCUGCUAAGCAAGCCGUUAGACCCAAGUCUUUAUUUUUCCUGCAAUUUCUGUCAAAUUGGUCCUCCAGCCUCAUUUUGCAAGUCUUGGCAAUGUUUUCUAAGCAGCACAGCUUGCCACCGUCACUAAUGGUUGAAAUGUCAGUGAGUUGCUUCUGAAUGGGAGUCGGUGCAGCGGCCACAGAAAUUUGCCACUUUCUGUCUGCAGCAAAACCCUACCUCAAGCUACCAAAUGUGCGCUGUGAGGUCCGGGCUCCACAGAUGGCAUUCUCCUCAGUUCCAUGCUCUUACUCACUGUCAAACUCUUUCCACCUACGCCCAUCAUUUUGACAUCGCCUGACCUGUAUGAGAGCUGCCAGAAUUUUCUGCACUUUCUAGGCCAAGCCAAGGAACUUUGGUUGGGCUUGGGUGCAUUACCUUUCUGAUGCAGGUUUUGCGUGACGAGACAGUUUGCUUUUUAGGCUGCCGCAUCAGUUUGGAAGAAAAGCUGCCUACUUAAACUGCAAUUAUGUUUGUCAGCCUACUUAGGGCUUAUUAAGGCAGCAACUUACACAGUUUUUGAGUUACGCCAUUUUAGGAAAAAGAACUAAUUUGACUGUUUGAGCAAACUCAUAAGAGCUAAAAAGAGAGAGAUAAAUGCAUCCAAGUUUACCAAUACACCAAGCAAGGGUGUAUUGAUUUGUAUCUUUCAGUUUGUCUUCCAAGCCACUUUGUGGUCUCAUUCUGGCUCUUUUCUGUUAUAGUGCCCAGCUGAGUUCUCUAAGGCUUUUCAGUGUUUCAGCCCUUUUCUUCUCUUGCCUUUCUUCUUUUCUUCAGGUUUCUGGCUUCAUCUUUCCAACUCUUCCACUUACUUUUGAAUAACUGCCUUAUUUUCUAACUCAAGUUGUAUAAAACUUCCUCCCUCCCAAUCAGAAGGAGAGUGGAGUCAUGACUAAGAUUACCGUAUUUUUUACUCCAUAAGACACACCCGACCAUAAGACGCACCUAGUUUUUAGAGGAGGAAAACAAGAAAAAAAAAUAUAUUCUGAACAAAACAGUGGAUGUAUGAUUUUUGUGGUUCAUGCUGUGGCCACAAACAUGAUUUGUGAUUUGAUGGUGAGUUUGGGGUAGCUCAAUGCAAAAAUCCUGAGAAUCCAUGUGGAUCCGUGCUUUGUAACCAGGUUUUUGCUCCAUUGUGGCCCCACGAAACAGUGGAUGCGUGGUUUUUUUGGUGCAGGCUGUAGCCAUGGACAUGCUAUGUGAUCUGAUGGUGAAUUUGGGGUGACCCAAUGCAAAAAUCCUGAGGAUCCUCCCAGGCAGCCUCCUUUAUCGCUAGUGUCCCUUAUCUCCCUCCUGAUCACUUGUCAAUCAGCUGCUUCCUUUCAACACCCCCUUCCCUCUUGUUUGCCAGCGUCUUUUCCUUAGCUGGAGCAGUGUUUUUGCUCCUCCUUUUCUUUUAAUUUCUCUCCUCAUUGCUUUAAUCUUCCUGUCUCCUCUCCUUGCAAGCUCACUGUCUUUACCUCCCCCCCCGGCAGCCUCCUUUACCCGCAGCCUUAUCUCCCUCCUGAUUGCUUGCCGAUCAGCGGCUUUGUUUCAACACCCCCUUCCCGCUUUCUAAAAAAAAAAAAGCACGAUCUGCUUUUCACCCCUGGGCAAUUUGGCUCCAGGGACCACGCAUCCGCUCCAUAAGAUGCACAGACAUUUCCCCUUACUUUUUAGGAAGAAAAAAGUGUGUCUUAUGGAGCGAACAAUACGGUAAUUUCUCCUCAAUUGGCAGUUGCCUAUAGGACUCCCUUCACCUGCAUAAGGCUGCCCAUGAACUGAGAUCAACUUCAGAGCCCCUGCUUUAUGCCCACUGUUAAAAUAAAAUAGGUUGGCAGCAGGUACUCUCAGUUUUUGUUGGAAGGGGGCCAGGCCCCCUGAAUGUUGAAGGGACAGAGCAGGCUGAGUAUGGAGUUGAGUGCAGGGCCGCUUUAGUGGCUGGAUCCUCCAGAGUGCUAGGCCUCCUCCAAAUGAUGUGACGUCAUGCUUGCAUCACAGGUGUGAUGUCACAGGUGUGUGAUGUGCACUGGGGCCCCUCAAUCUUUGGGGAACUUGGCGCCUCUGGUUGUCAGGCACAUUUUAUGUGGCAUGCGCCACCUCUAUGGAACCCAUUAUCCAAGGAGAUAUAUUGGUGAUUUGAAUUCAGGUCGUUUUUUUCUUGAUGGUUUUAUGCUGCUGCUGCUGCUCACAUUACAUUUUAACUGAGCUAUAAUGAUGUGGUUUCAUUUGCCAUCAAUGUGUUGCGCUUUAAAUAGUGUUUUAAUCUUAUCUGCUUUUACAAUUGUUUUGUGUAUUGUAAACAGCCUUCUGAGAGUAUAUGCUCUGAAAGGCAGCCCAAAAAUACUCCAAUAAACACACACACACACAGACUUUGGGCGAUACUUUUUAAAAGCCAAUGAAUUUUUUUUAUGAGCCUUAAGGUAGUUCAUGGAAGAGUUUUAUUUUCUCUGCUUGAAAACCUGUAUGCUGAGCAUGAUAUAAUUUUAGUUCUUUUGGACUGCUGGGGAAACAGCUCAAUGUACUGCAGCUGAUCUUAUCAGAUUGUCAUGAAAUGAAUGCCAUCUAUUUAUUUACAGAAGCACAUUGGGGUCAAUAGCAGAACAUAUAAUCUAGUCUUUCAGAAGUAUUCUCAUUGCCUGGUAGAAUAUUGUUGGAAUAAAUUUAGCAAGCCUAUUUUAUUCUCAAAGCCAUAAGGAGGGUGAUAAUAUAUGGAUUAUUUUUUUUAAAAAAUGUGUUCUUUAGUUUUAGCCUUUAUCAGGUUUGUUUUGUUAUGCAGUCUCCUUUUUGUUACAUAAGGCUCCUUGAAUAUAUUGAAGAAAUAUGACCCAUAUUUUUAUAGAGAAAUUAUUAUAAAAGAUGAAAAUGAAAAAAAUCACCCUGUGUUUCCUUACAUUUUUAGCAGCAGCUGAUCAAUAAAUCUGUCCUGUUUACCCAGUUCAUGCCCUUUAACAGCAAGGAAAAUAGCUUUCACUUGUGAGAAACCACAACAUCCUGACCUGACUUGGCAAAAUUGUGUGGAACUGAUUUGAAACAAAACAAAAUUAUCCAACCCUGUAGCUACACAGGUAUGAAACUCCUGUUGUGAAGACCUUUUCAAAAAUCAAAUGGGGCACUUGAAAGAAUCUUAUGUACAAAUACAUGUAGGGUAAAGGUAAAGGACCCCUGGACGGUUAAGUCCAGUCAAAGGCGACUAUGGGGUUGUGGCGCUCAUCUCAAUUUCAGGCCGAGGGAGCCGGCAUUUGUCCACAGACAGCAUUCCGGGUCAUGUUGUGGCCGGCAUAACUAAACCGCUUCUGGUGCAACAGGACACCGUGAUGGAAACCAGAGCACACAGAAACGUUGUUUACCUUCCCACCACAGCAAUACCUAUUUAUCUACUUGCACUGGCAUGCUUUCCAACUGCCAGGUUGGCAGGAGCUGGGACAGAGCAACGGGAACUCACCCCGUUGCAGGGAUUCGAACCGCCAACCUUCCGCUCAGCAAGCCCAAGAGGCUCAGUAGGACCAGUUUAGAGACCACAGUCUCACAGAGCAGCUAGUGUGUGAAUUACAAGUAGGACAGUCAGGCUUGCUGCAAUUCCUUCAGUCCCAGGAGCUUCAAAAAAAGAAUGCAGGAAUCACUGCUAUCAUGUAUAAUCAGAUACGGUUGUUCACCUUCUACCUCAUCCGAGUGAGAGCCUAACAGAGCAAUCCAAAGUCCAACUCCCUCAUCUGCGGCACUGGGAAGGGUUUGGAUGCAGUGGAGAGGCUCCUCCAUGUUGACUCCACCAGACUCUUGACAGUGGAGGCCCCAAUGCGGAUGUCUCUGCUGUGCCUGCCAAAAGCGUGAGUGGGUGACAGCUAUUGAUGGUAGUGUCAUUCAGGAUGUUUCCUGGGGUAAGGAAGGAGUGGAGCUCUGGGUCCUAAAUGGGUCCAGUUGCUGGUCACGGGUUUGAGGCAGGCCUCUUUGCUGUGCCCACCUGACACCUGAAAAUAUGGAAUAAAACUGCUUAUUAAAGGUAAAGGUAAAGGGACCCCUGACCGUUAGGUCCAGUCGUGACCGACUCUGGGGUUGCCCACUCAUCUUGCUCUAUAGGCCGAGGGAGCCGGUGUCAUGUGGCCAGCAUGACUAAGCCACUUCUGGCAAACCAGAGCAGCGCACGGAAACGCCGUUUACCUUCCCACCGGAGCGGUACCUAUUUAUCUACUUGCAAUUGACGUGCUUUCGAACUGCUAGGUUGGCAGGAGCAGGGACUGAGAAACGGGAGCUCACCCCAUCAUGGGGAUUCGAACCGCCAACUUUCUGAUCAGCAAGUCCUAGGCUCUGUGGUUUUAACUCACAGCGCCACCCACAUCCCAAAACUGCUUAUUACCCAAUCUUAUAUGCUAGGGAUAAGGAACAUGUGCUUUUCCAGAUGUUGUUGGACUCCAACCUCCAUCAGCCCCUGUCAGAAUAGCUAGUGAUCAGGGAUGAUGGGAGUUGUAUUCCAGCAACCUCUGGAGAGAAGAGUGUACAUAUUUACUGAGGUUGCAAGUCAGUUGAAUUACAAAGGGGGGGAAAACCGAAAGAUGUCCUUUCCUUUUAACAAUGAAUAGUGGUUUCUGUUUAAUUAAAUUGUACGCUUUCUAAUACUUCCUGCUGUAUCCCCAAAAGACACCUGUUUUAAGGGUUUGCCAUCAAUACAUUUUAUCAAUUAAUUAGUAAGUUGAAAGGCAAAAGAUUCAUCAACUAUGUUCUUCAAAUGUGGUGGACAGCCUUAUUGAGUCCACAUCCAAGUAAGGAUAAAUCAUCUCGUGGCAUUAGCUUGCCUCUGUCCAUGUUGUUAAGUGCACUUUAGUGUGUCUGUAACGUUUAUAUUGGCCAAGGGCUGCUUAUAUCUGAAAACGAAUCAUGCCCUCUGCUGGGAUAACGAUGAAGCAUACAUAAUGAAACUAUUUCGACUAGAAGGUUACGUAAAAAGGAGGCUGGGCGCUUCUUAUUUCCAGGUAUUGAAAGGUAUUGAGAAAGGGGUGGGGGAGCCCUGACAAGGGCCGAGUGAUUAUAAACUUACAACCUGCCUGCCUAUGCAAGUAGGUAUUUUAUUUUAAGGCUAUUUAGAAACAGCAAACAGCUCCUGUACCCGUCCUUAUGAUGAAGCAGGUCAGUGCAAACGCAGCAGAACCCUGGGCCAUCCCAACAAGACAGCUCGCUCUCAUUUCCCCUGAAAUCACAGAGAUCAUAACUCAAAGCACUAAACAAAGCAAGCAAGUUGCCAAAUAGGCACGACCCGCUGACCACACUGCUUGCAUAAAGCAGUGGUGGUAAAUCUAGCAGUCACCUUAAACGUAUGGUUACCAGAUUUUGUUCAAAGAAUCCGAGGACACUUUUUUUUUGAAAAGAGAAAAAAAGUUAUUUUUAAAAAACAUUUUUAAAAAUUUUUUAAGAAGUAAUAUCUUUUCUUCUGUAGUCUCCUCUGUCGCAUGGCCUUCCUCUGGGCCCCGGCCUGCUCUCUUGGAGCGCUAACCGCUGUGGAGUAGGCUCAGGUCAGACCUGGGCUCGGCCACUUGUCCUUGCCCUCUCCUACCUCUCUUCCUCAGCGGCGGCAGCAGCUCCCCUCUUUUUUCUCCUUCUUCUUUCUCUCUCUUCCUUCUCCUUCUCCUCCCCUCCUUCUCCCUGCAUCGGCUCCGGGGGUUUUACUGGCCCCAGAGCGCCGCUGGGCAGUCACUCCCGGCUCGAUUUGGGUCGUUGGUGUGUGUGUGUCAGCGGUUCCCCCAGUUGGCGCGCUGGGCAUCCCCAGUUUCCCCUUGGCAGUGGCAGCAGCAGUCUCAGCAGCCCAGAGCCAGCUUAGUAGCGCAGUUGGCUCAGGUUGGCUUCAGGAGCUGCUCGCUGCCAUGGCACCCGCCAUUUUGCCUCACCAAAAGUCCUCAUAUGAUGUGCCUUGUGCCGUUGAACCAAUCACAUAAGAUUCAUCCCCUACUAAUAAAUCUACAACACUUAAAAUAUAAAUCCAGGGACAUUAAAUGAAAUCUGGAGACAUUCUGGGGACAGAUUUGGAAACCAUACCUUAAAGGCCCCAGCUUUAUAAGAACUGCUGAUAAAAUUACAGUCGUAGCUUGGAAGUUGAAAGGAAUCUGUUCCGGAAGUCCGUUCGACUUCCAAAACCUUCAAAAACCAAAGCACGACUUCUGAUUGGCUGCAGGAAGCUCACUUCUGGGUUUGCAGAGUUCGGGAGUCAAAACGGCCGAGUGCCAAGGCAUUUGGGAUCCAAUGUAUGACUGUAUAGGAAAUCAAACAGUGCAGGCAAAGGAAGCCACCACUGACCAGCUGACUGGGCAGCUGGGAAUGGUUUGAGGUAAAGGGUCUCAUGAACCAAAUUAGGAGCCCAAGGGUCAGAGGAUCUCCAUCUCUGGUGUAGGAGGUAUCUAUCGUAUAUUAAAUGUCUCCCAAGAACACCACAGAAAGGAAGCAGCAGAUGGCAUUUGAGUACCGGAGAAAUUUCGUCACUGAAAUGCUUGUAGUAUUGUAUUUUUUUGUUUCUUCUGGAGAAAUGUACUUUUCUUUUGUUCUGGUAAGGAAACACUUUAAAUUGUUUAAAAAGUAUUAAAUCACAUGGCUUCAUGUAGCUACAUAGAAAAGGCAUGAUCAACACUGCUGCUGUUAUUUGCUGCACUUCUAAAUGCGUCAUCUUCGUUCAAAAUGCACAUGUGGAGCAGUAAUUCUCAAGCAUUGGGGUGAUGCCUCUCUUGGGAGCAGACAGAGCGGAUGUUAAGGAGAGCAGGGUUCCCUUCCCUUCCCUUCCCUUCCCUUCCCAUCCCAUCCCAUCCCAUCCCAUCCCAUCCCAUCCCAUCCCAAGGAGUAGACUGUUUUCAGAGAAAAGUUCCCAGCCUCAUUCUCAGACACUCUCAAUUUCAAUAAAGCUUUUGUGUGUGUGUGUGUGUGGGCCUAGUCUCUGUAGGAUCUUUACAACUUGAAAAUGGCGGCAGCAGAAGAAUGGCAGUUUCUCUGGACUAUAGCAGUUAGAAACCUGAAGCCAUGGAACUUGAUCUGAACCCCUCUGCACCUCUUGAUUUCACAUACAGUACCCUAGCUCAGUGUAAAAGAAUUGAACUACAGUCCUAGGGUGGAUCUACACACAGGAAAAAACCCACGAUAAAUAAGUCAAAAAUUAAAUCGUUAUAACAAAAGGGGAAAAAUCAGCGCUAUGGAAAAUCACGUAGAAUUUCUUUUACUCUCCAGCGCCAUCUGGUGUUGUAUGUUUAUAACACAAUCAAAAUGCUAUUUUUUUUACUAAUGUACAGUAGGGAGUCCCUAGACUGCUUCUGUAUACAUGUAUCUGCUGCAUCUGCAAGGGGAUGCAUAUCUUUCCUAUGUAUUCAUUUGGGGAGUAUAAGGUGAACUUGGAGACCUGACAGGUGCCCCAAGGCCCAUUAAACACCAAGGGUGAGGCAUCCACCAUUGCUGAUGUGCAAUGGUGAUGGGAGAUCAAGGGGAUAUCAAAGUGAUAUACAGAAAUUUAGGGAGCUGGUGAAGAAGGCUGCAAGGUAAAUGCCUAUCUAUGAGAAAAGAGUCCUGCAAAGAGACUGGUAAGUUAGGAACUGUCCAGACUAGGGCUAGAGACUUGGGUUUAUCCAACUUUUGUUUGCUUUUGCUCUAGCAGGGAUAUUUUGGCUUUUUGUAAUUUGGGGGCAUCACAUUUCUUUCUCUUUAACAUUUAUAGCAAUACCUAAGGAGGCUUCAAAGGGACCCCGGUUAACUUUUGGAGGCUGUUUGAUAAGGAGCAUUCUGGUAAACAAAUGGAAGCUCAGUCCAGAUCAGACUGAGGCACUGUUAGUGGGUGGUUCUCUAGACCAGAUGGAUGGGAGGUUGCCUGCUCUUGAUGCGAUCACACUACCUCUGAAGGAGUAGGUACGUAGCUUGGGGGUCCUCCUGGAUUCUUUGCUGUUGCUUGAGGCUCAGGUGGCCUCGGUGGUGUGGAGGGCAUCCCAUCAACUUUGUCUGUUGGUCCAGCUGCACCCUUAUCUGGACAUAGACUAACUUCUAUGCUCUGGUACCCUCUAGGCUACAUGACUGCAACACAUUAUAGGUGGGACUGCCUAUGAACAAAGUUCAGAAACUUCAGCUGGCGCAGAAUUCAGUGGCCAGGUUGCUCACCAGGGCAAGACUGUUUGCAUAUAACGCCAAUCCUGCCCUGGCUGCCAAUUAGUUUCCAUGCCCAAUUAAAAGUGCUGGUUUUGACCUAUAAAGCCUUAAACGGCUCAGGACUGCAAUAUCUCAAGGACCGCCUCUCCCCAUAUGAACCAACCCGGACCCUGAGAUCAUCAUUUGAGGCCCUUCUUCGUGUGCCCCUUCCAUGAGAGGUCCAGAGGGUGGCAACACAAGGAUAGGCCUUUUUGUGGUGGCUUCCCCCAGUUGUAGAAUGCUCUCUCCAGGGAGGCUCGCCUGGCGCCUUCGUUACAUAUCUUUAAGUGCCAGGCGAAAACGUUCCUCUUCUCCCAGGCCUUUGGCUAAUUAAACAAUCUACGGCCUUUUAAACGAGGGUGCGGGAGUUGUUAUUAUUUGUCGUUUUGGGAUUUUUGUUUGUUUUUAUAUCGUAAACUGCCCUGUGAUCUUUGGAUGAAAGCUGGUAUAGAAAUCUAAUAAACAAACAAUCAAAUUGACCCCUUAUCGGAGGGCCCAAGAUAUGGGUACACUCCUUGCACCUAGCAACCAGUAUAUGCAAGUAUAAUCGCUCCCUCCCCACCCCCUGAAUAAUGCACACAUUAAAUACAAAUGCCCUGGUAGUGUUGCUCAGUUCCUCAACAGGUUCUCUCUGAUUAGCAGAAAGAGCCAAAGGAAAGUUUUAUAUCUUCUUUGGCAGUUUAAUUUUCUUUACAGUAACCUUUUGUACUUUCAAGAAGAAAAAUGAAGAACCUCUUCAUUGCUGCCUUGCUUCAGAGCGCAGAAAUUCCCCAGGGUCCUAUGUACUCAACCUAAAUUAUUUUUAUUAUUCACGGGUGGAUCUUGAUUUUAGUGUCAUAAUGGUAUUUUUCAUCAUCUUUCUUCCCCUGGCAUCAUAUCCACAACAUGCUCCAGAUGAAUUCAAGCUGGAAAUGCUUGAACAGUAGAAAUACUGUUUUUCUCAUGCUCGUUUAGGUGUAGUCUCUGAUGCACUAUAUGUAUAAGAAAUUGCCUCUUUGACAUAUUAACAAGGUACCUUCCGUUUUUUAUUUAUAAGAAAGCAUAUAUUGCAAAAGAGGGGCUGGGAAUUGCAGUGAUCAUGUAGUACAAGAUAUAUGAGAUACUGUUAUGUACUGAAGUUCUCACCCUGGGCUAGCAGGGGGUUACUGUAGAUAGUUAUGCAAAUGAAGGAUCGAAAGUGUCGUUCAGUGAUUGGAUAGUUACAGAAAGUUGUUACAGUUACGUUGUACUGGAGCUCUAUAUAAGCAGGCUGACUGAGUCCUUCAGCUCAGUUCUGUUCUGGCCUCUGAAUAAACAAGAGCUGUUGAAGAAUCGCUGUGUCGUCUGGUAUGUUCACCCACAACUUAAUAUGAGAUACAAUAUGUAAUAAUCCUGUGUUCAGCAGCCAAAGCACACAUAGGCCAGCUGAAAAAGUAUGAUGAUAUUGUGAAUAAAUUUCUUUUUUUUCUUUUUCUUUUUAAAAAGAAUCUGUUUUCUAACUUUCAGCAAAAUUGUCGAGACAAAAACUCCAACAAAGCUUUAUAUCUCAGCCGUUACAUUAACAAAUUUUGUCUCUUACUUUACAGGGUGCUGAGAAAAUUUUGUCAAUGAAUGAAUCAGGGGAACUGCAAGAUCUCUUAACCAAAAUUGAGGUAAUUGAUGAGGUUAUAAAAGAUGACACAUUAAAAUACCGUUCUCAUACAUUAGUUACAUACAUAGUGUUCUGUGGUAAGCUCACAGAUGAAUUAUAUUUUCUUUGUAAGGGAACAUCAACAUGAAUGUCUCCAACCUUUUGCCCAUUCUUCACUACAAGUAUCUGUUGGCCCUACACUUGUAUUAAUUCUGGAAAAAUAAAUUUAGGAACAUGGCCAUAGGAAGGUAAUAUGUGGUUCUGCCCCGAGUAUAUAUAAUUGAUGCCCCUGCCUAUGCCACCCAACCUCCCCCAGCCUCUAUUACACAAACUCAAAAGUGCCUCACAUGGAGAACAGGGCAGCUCAGGCUAGAACUACCAAUCACCCCAAACAAAAUGGCCGCCCCAUAUCUUCCUUUCAUUCUCUUCUCUGUCAUGUGGCGAAGGCAUAAAAUUGUGCAUCUUUGUUCUCAUUGGGUCUGAACUGGUGGUGACAGACCUGGAAUGACUGACAUUCGGGUCAAACUGGUAGCUUAGUGAAGAUGUUGACCCAGUGUGUGGCAGCUGUGAAAAAGUUGGGAUUCUGUGCUAGGGAUAAUUAAAAGUUUAAUCAGUAUUAUAAAAAAUAAUAACCAAAAAAUAAAACUGUCAAUAUCAUAACACCAUUCUGCUAAUCUAUAGUGUGACCACACCUUGAAUACCAUGUACAGUUUUGGUCAGCUCCAAAAUGACACCAUAGAACUGGAGAAGAGUCAGGAAAGGGCAACCAAGAUUAUCACAGUGUUACUUGGCCUCUCCUGGCAUGCCCAACGGAGGACCUCAAGGUCCAUAAAUAGCAACACCUUAGAGGUCCCGGGCCCUAAGGAAGUUAGAUUAGCCUCAACCAGAGCCAGGGCCUUUUCAGCUCUGGCUCCGGCCUGGUGGAACACUCUGUCUCAUGAGACCAGGGCCCUGCAGGAUCUGAUUUCUUUCCGCAGGGCCUGUAAGACAGAGCUGUUCUGCCUGGCCUUUGGCUUAGAAUCAGUUUGAUUUCCUCCCCCUCUUUCUUUUCCUUUCUCCUCCUAUGAAGAGAUUGCACCCUAAUGUUUUAAUUGUUUAAUGUUGUAUUUUAAUCUUGUUUUUUAAGUUGUAUUCACUCAACUUGUUUUUAUUAUUGGUUGUUAGCCGCCCUGAGCCCAGUCUUGGCUGGGGAGGGCGGGGUAUAAAUAAAAUUUAUUAUUAUUAUAUUUAAAAGAAGAGUAGACAAAUUCAUAAAGGAUAAGGCUAUCCAUAGCUACUACCCACAAUGGCUACGUUCUGUCUCAUUGUAGGAGGCAGCAUGUUGCUGAAUACCAGUUGCUUGGAAUCACAAGUGUGGAGAGUAAUCCUGUCCUUGUGGGCUUCUUUCCCAUAGGUAUCUGACUAGCCACAGUGGCGUAGCGUGGGGGUGCAGGGGGGGCCGGCCGCACCGGGCGCAACAUCGGGGGGGGGGCGCGCUCGCACUCGCAGCUCUCUGCCCCUACCUGGCUCGCUCACUCUCUCUCACUGCAGUGCUGGCUGUGCGAAUCCGAUGCGAGCCGCUGGGUCGCCGCCCACUGUGGAGGGGGUGGGUGCCAGGCGUGCGGUGCGGAGAGAGAGCGAGGGACUAUCUGGGGGAGGGGCAGUGCAGCGGCCGCCCAGCGCAGCGCUGAGCGCGGGAGAGAACCACACCAGACCAGCCCAGGCAGCAGCAAGAAGAAGCUGGCAGCGGCGGCAGGUUAGGGGUUAGGGGGCGCAAAUUACUUGCCUUGCCCCGGGUUAGGGGGCGCAAAUUACUUGCCUUGCCCCGGGUGCUGACAACCCACGCUACGCCGCUGACUAGCCACCAUGGGUCUUUGGCCUGAUCCAACAGGGCCCUCCUUACGUUUUGUUUCUUAUGUAAAUCACAGCCAUAGGGGAGCCCAAGAAGCCUCAGAACCACGGAGAGUGGAGGGAUUUAUCUGCAACCAUCUGUUAUAAGAAUCUCAAGAUCUCAAAUAUAGAAUAAAUAUUCAUAAAUGCACACAUAUCUAAAUAUAUGAACGUGUGUCUGAAAUAGUGUGGGAGAGCAAUCCUGAAGCCAUUUUGACUCUCCCAGUGACCUCAGAUAUUCCUCUGCAGUAAGGGAGGUAAAUGGGGAAAGUCUUCCCAUUGUCUUUUUGCUUGCAGAUCCUGUCUUAAGGGCAUAUUUGUGUAUGCCUGUGACCUGGAUUAACCAUCAUAAAAGAAUGGCCAGGCUGCCCAGGCAAUACAAUCAGUGAUCAUUCUCAGGUAUCCUGGCAGGCAGGACUUCUCCUUCUGUGAUAUAUGUAUGAUUUUUUGGGGGGUGGUGGUCUUGGGCUACAGGGUGGGCAAUUUCAAAAGUCUAUAUAAGGGCUUGUGCACCAUUGUUCAGGGUUCUCCUCCCUCCUGCGUGUGGUGAGCGGGGACCCAGUUGCAACAGUUUUUUGUAUAAAGAUCAGGCUUCCUUGCCACUUUGCUUCUCAAUAUACUCUGGUUGGCCUCUGUGGACUCUAUACGGGCUGUGGAAUACCCCAUAAGAGAAAGGGAGCAGUUUUUCUUAUAACACAUCUCAACAAAAAAUAUCUCCUUGAAACUUCCAUUCCUAAUUCAAGGGAAGCUUCCACUGGCGGGAUAGAGGGUUCUCUUGAAAAACAAAUAGCAGCUUCAGAAAGGUUUUUGUUGGAACUAUGGGUCCUGAGAGUCAUACAGUGGUACCACUACUCACAUGCCCCUCUUGUUACGUAUCAGGAUGCGCACACGGCAAACCAAUAAUAAUAAUAAUAAUAAUAAUAAUAAUAAUAAUUUAUUAUUAUUAUUUAUACCCCACCCAUCUGGUUGGGUUUCCCCAGCCACUCUGGGCGGCUUCCAACUGAAUAUUAAAAACAAUACAGCAUCAGACAUUAAAAACUUCCCUAAACAGGGCCGCCUUCAGUUGUCUUUUAAAAGUAAAAUAGUUGUUUAUUGCCUUGACAUCUGCUGGGAGGGCGUUGAUUUAUUGUGCCACGUGUGUGCGCAGAACAGGCACCUCCAGCUGCGGAAACCUCGGGAUCCGACCAGAGCUCCGGAAAGGAUCCCGUCCGCAACUGGAGGUACCACUGUAUUUACAUAAAAAGAAAUGUGUAAGUUACUUUCAUUCUCACAGUUAAUUCCCUGUCUGGUUUGGCCCUCAGAAUAUAAUGCAAAUAAUGGAUGCCAUCUUUCUUUCUGUCUCUCCCCCCCCCUCAGAGAGUUCAACACCCUCAUGAAUGCCUCUCAUGUGGGGGCUUUGGUUUUAUUCCGUGCUCAGCGUGCCAUGGGAGCAAGAUGUCAGUGUUUCGGAACUGUUUUACGGACUCAUUCAAAGCCCUCAAGUGCACCGCUUGCAACGAGAACGGAUUGCAACGCUGCAAGAGUUGCCUCAGCUAAGGAUGGCGCCUUGAUACAAAAAACAACCUCAUUUUAUUAUGUCAACGCAGCAGUUUGUUAUACUAUUUUAUAUUAAGGAAAACCACCAUGUUUGUCUAAUUCAGUCAAUAAACG
Molecule: long non-coding RNA, 17151 nt
Filed under: Podarcis lilfordi (Lilford's wall lizard)
Lineage: Eukaryota; Metazoa; Chordata; Lepidosauria; Squamata; Lacertidae
Source: RNAcentral